GCCUGUUCUAGAACCGAUAACCCCCGUUCAACCUCACCCUUCCUUGUUUAACCCGCCUAUAUACCGCCGUCGUCAGCUUACCCUGUGAAGGAUUAAUAGUAAGCAAAACUGGUACAACCUAAAACGUCAGGUCGAGGUGUAGCGUAUGGAGGGGGAAGAAAUGGGCUACAUUCGCUACUACAGCGAACACGAAUGAUGUACUGAAACGUAUAUCUGAAGGAGGAUUUAGCAGUAAGCAGGAAAUAGAGCGUCCCGCUGAAACUGGCCCUGAAGCGCGCACACACCGCCCGUCACUCUCCCCAAAAACACCAGCCAAUUAACUAAAACCUAAUAAUUAAAAAGGGGAGGCAAGUCGUAACAUGGUAAGUGUACCGGAAGGUGCGCUUGGAAAA
This 392-nucleotide ribosomal RNA is filed under the name Gymnocanthus tricuspis (Arctic staghorn sculpin). RNAcentral's name for it is "partial 12S ribosomal RNA". It matches the Rfam family "Bacterial small subunit ribosomal RNA", at positions 937 to 1525 of the family's 1533-position model. The record is from RNAcentral. Lineage: Eukaryota; Metazoa; Chordata; Actinopteri; Perciformes; Cottidae.